This 86-nucleotide transfer RNA is filed under the name Microbacterium phage Pumpernickel. Its description in RNAcentral is "tRNA-Ser". It matches the Rfam family "tRNA". From Rfam's summary of the family: Transfer RNA (tRNA) molecules are approximately 80 nucleotides in length. Their secondary structure includes four short double-helical elements and three loops (D, anti-codon, and T loops). Further hydrogen bonds mediate the characteristic L-shaped molecular structure. tRNAs have two regions of fundamental functional importance: the anti-codon, which is responsible for specific mRNA codon recognition, and the 3' end, to which the tRNAs corresponding amino acid is attached (by aminoacyl-tRNA synthetases). tRNAs cope with the degeneracy of the genetic code in two manners: having more than one tRNA (with a specific anti-codon) for a particular amino acid; and 'wobble' base-pairing, i.e. permitting non-standard base-pairing at the 3rd anti-codon position. The record is from RNAcentral. Lineage: Duplodnaviria; Heunggongvirae; Uroviricota; Caudoviricetes.
GGUGGCGUGUCCGAGAGGCCUAUGGAGCACGCUUGGAAAGCGUGUAGGGGUAACACCCACGCAGGUUCGAAUCCUGUCGCCACCGC